This 1446-nucleotide ribosomal RNA is filed under the name uncultured Bordetella sp. RNAcentral's name for it is "partial 16S-23S ribosomal RNA intergenic spacer". It matches the Rfam family "Bacterial small subunit ribosomal RNA". Lineage: Bacteria; Pseudomonadati; Pseudomonadota; Betaproteobacteria; Burkholderiales; Alcaligenaceae. The record is from RNAcentral.
AGUUCGAUCAUGGCUCAGAUUGAACGCUGGCGGGAUGCUUUACACAUGCAAGUCGAACGGCAGCACGGACUUCGGUCUGGUGGCGAGUGGCGAACGGUGAAAGAAGGUAUCGGAACGUGCCUAGUAAGUAGAUACACCACGCUACAGCGUAGCUAAUAUCAGGACAGUGCCUUCGGGGGAAAGUGGGACCUCUGGGCCUUCGCACUAAUAGAGCGGCCGAUAUCGGAUUAGCUAGUUGGUGGGGUAACGGCUCACCAAGUUGCGACGAUCCGUAGCUGGUUUGAGAGGACGACCAGCCACACUGGGAUUCACACGGCCCAGACUCCUACGGGAGGUAGCAGUGGGGAAUUUUGACAAUGGGGGAAACCCUGAUCCAGCCAUCCUGCAAGAUGAAGGCCUUCGUUGUAAAGCACUUUUGGCAGGAAAGAACGGCAAUGGAUAACACCCUGCAGACCCGACGGCACCUGCACAGCACCGGCUAACUACGUGCCAGCAGCCGCGGUAAUACGUAGGGUGCAAGCGUUAAUCGGAAUUACUGGGCGUAAAGCGUGUGCAGGCGGUUCGGAAAGAAAGAUGAAAUCCCAGAGCUUAACUUUGGAACUGCAUUUUUAACUACCGAGCUAGAGUGUGUCAGAGGGAGGUGGAAUUCCGCGUGUAGCAGUGAAAUUGCGUAGAUAUGCGGAGGAACACCGAUGGCGAAGGCAGCCUCCUGGAUAAUGACUGACGCUCAUGCACGAAAGCGUGGGCUUAAACAGUAAUAGAUACCCUGGUAGUCCACGCCCUAAACGAUGUCAACUAGCUGUUGGGGCCUUCGCCUGGUAGCGCAGCUAACGCGUAAAGUUGACCGCCUGGAUACGGCCGCAAGAUUAAAACUCAAAGGAAUUGACGGUGACCGCACAAGCGGUGGAUGAUGUGGAUUAAUUCGGCAACGCGAAAAACCUUACCUACCCUUGACAUGUUCAACCUGAAGAGAUUUGGGGAUGCCCGCAGAACCGGAACACAGGUGCGUACGGCUGUCGUCAGCUCGUGCCGGAGAUGGGUUAAGUCCCGCAACGAGCGCAACCCUUGUCAACACGAAAGGGCACUCUAUCGAGACUGCCGCACAAACCGGAGGAAGGUGUGGGAUACGUCAAGCCCUGCGGCUCCUUAUGGGUAGGGCUUCACACGUCAUACAAUGGUCGGGACAGAGGGUCGCCAACCCGCGAGGGGGAGCCAAUCCCAGAAACCCGAUCGUAGUCCGGAUCGCAGUCUGCAACUCGACUGCGUGAAGUCGGAACGCUAGUAAUCGCGGAUCAGCAUGUCGCGGUGAACACGUUCCCGGCCCGCGGUACACACCGCCGGCCGCCUGCUGGGAGUGGGUUUUACCAGAAGUAGUUAGCCUAACCGUAAGGAGGGAAGGAUUACCACGGUAGGAUUCAUGACUGGGGUGAAGUCGUAACAAGGUAG